Molecule: ribosomal RNA, 253 nt
Filed under: uncultured bacterium
Lineage: Bacteria
Description: partial 16S ribosomal RNA
Rfam family: Bacterial small subunit ribosomal RNA
Source: RNAcentral
GACGUAGGAUGCGAGCGUUAUUCGGAUUUAUUGGGCGUAAAGCGUCUGUAGGUGGCUUUUUAAGUCCGCCGUCAAAUCCCAGGGCUCAACCCUGGACAGGCGGUGGAAACUACCAAGCUUGAGCACGGUAGAGGCAGAUGGAAUUCCCGGUGUAGCGGUGGAAUGCGUAGAGAUCGGGAAGAACAUCAGUGGCGAAGGCGGUCUGCUGGGCCGUUGCUGACGCUGAGGCGCGACAGCGUGGGGAGCAAACAGG